This 284-nucleotide transfer-messenger RNA is filed under the name Pseudomonas aeruginosa. RNAcentral's name for it is "partial transfer-messenger RNA". It matches the Rfam family "transfer-messenger RNA", at positions 1 to 291 of the family's 374-position model. Rfam says of the family: Bacterial tmRNA, also known as 10Sa RNA or SsrA, is named for its dual tRNA and mRNA-like properties. The record is from RNAcentral. Lineage: Bacteria; Pseudomonadati; Pseudomonadota; Gammaproteobacteria; Pseudomonadales; Pseudomonadaceae.
GGGGCUGAUUCUGGAUUCGACGGGAUUUGCGAAACCCAAGGUGCAUGCCGAGGGGCGGUUGGCCUCGUAAAAAGCCGCAAAAAAUAGUCGCAAACGACGAAAACUACGCUUUAGCAGCUUAAUAACCUGCUCUGAGCCCUCUCUCCCUAGCUUCCGCUCUUAAGACGGGGAUCAAAGAGAGGUCAAACCCAAAAGAGAUCGCGUGGAUGCCCUGCCUGGGGUUGAAGCGUUAAAUCUAAUCAGGCUAGUUUGUUAGUGGCGUGUCUGUCCGCAGCUGGCAAGCG